UAUGGUCACACCACCCUGAACGCACCGGAUCUCAUCUGAUCUCGGAAACUAGGCAGGGUCUGGUCUGGGGAGUACUUGGAUGGGACAGGAUUAAAUACAGAGUGCUUGGGAACACGGAGAAGGGCCAUGA
RNAcentral lists this ribosomal RNA (130 nucleotides) under Oryctolagus cuniculus (rabbit). Lineage: Eukaryota; Metazoa; Chordata; Mammalia; Lagomorpha; Leporidae. The record is from RNAcentral.